UAAACUUUAGUGAUUACAAAUUGCUUUUAACGCGCCAGUUAACCCUAGCGAUGGCGGCGAGUAUAAAACCAGAGGGAGAUGGUUGAGGAAGAAAGCAAGAGCCCUAGGCCGAGCGCUUUACCACUUAAGGCAGUGGUGGCGUGGUAUUCCACGAGAAAAGGUUUUCAAUUUGUGGCGCACGUUAGUGUGAUGGGCUCACAGUAAUCAGCUCAAGGUCAGCCAAUGGCGCGCCGGCGGCGAGGAGGCUCCCCUGGUCGCUCCGCUGCACUAGUCUUUUGCUGCCGGAGCGGCCGGACUUUGCCCCCACAUUCUUUUGAAUCCAAUCCCCUGUUUCCAGUCUUUGCUCUUGUUCAUCGAUUUAGUCGUAAAGAUUCAUUCUUUGCCUUGUUAAUGAAUAGAUUUUCGUUUCAAAUUGUCAAGCUUUUUUUCUGAUUCUAGCUUGGACACCUGAAAAUGUCUGAACCAUCAUUUCAGUUUUAUGUUUUAUUAUAGGCUCUUGGUGAGUUUGCUGUGAUCUGCAGAUUGUUCAUGGAAAUGAAAGAACAAACAGUUACUGGAUUCUGGUGAUCCUAACAAGGUGAAGAAACCAGCUUUGUUGAUUUGUUUGUUGAUUAUGGUGAUCUUGAAUUGAACUCCUGCUCAAGUAUGGAACUGAAGUUCAUGGCAAAAGCAGUCACAUUUGCUAUGGCGAAGCUUAAUGGUAAUGAACUUUGGAACUAUGAGCUCUUGAAAGAAGAGGGUUAACACUUACAUUUAUCGUGGAAGCAAAAUUCUGAUCCUUUGUCUGGAUUGUGCAGAAACCAGGAUCAUGGAAUCGAAGAAAUUAAGCUCAGAGAUGGACAAUGCUCGAACUACAAUUGAUUUCUAGCUCAUGAACAUUAGUUUUAACCAGUUAUAGUUCAUUCCUCUGCAUCUUUUAACUGUCUAGUGAAUGCAGAGCUUUAAACCUAUGGCUGGUCUCCUCAUUGCUGAUUGCUGAUGCUUAGUUUAACAAUGGAUAUGGAUUGAUUAUAGCUGAACUGGUUUAAAAAGCUGUGACUCGAAUUCCCAAAUUUUGAUGUUUACAGCUUUAGUUUGAUGUGUACACUUUCAUGGCGUUGGUAAAGCUUCAUUAAGGUGAUGGUUGAUGGCUUUAUGCGUUUGGUGUAGCAGUGUCUGUAGAUUGUGCCUACAGCUUAGUCGCCAUUUCUGUAUUACUAAAGCUUGAUAGCCAUAACAAGCUCGGCUCCGUGACUAUAACAAAUAGUUAAGCUCGGCUUGUGAGUAGCUCUCGAGAUGUUAACAAAUGGAAAAGGUCCUAUCAAUCAACUCCUGAAAAAGAACAGUCUAGCUCAUAAUCGAGGUUCAUGAAACUAAACUAUUGAGCUUGUAAUUGAGCCCUUAUUGAACCAACUCGCGAGUCCAUAGCCUUCGUGAGCUCACAGCCGAGCCGGUGUU
This 1437-nucleotide long non-coding RNA is filed under the name Linum usitatissimum (flax). Its description in RNAcentral is "long non-coding RNA (LUSI_LNC005599)". The record is from RNAcentral. Lineage: Eukaryota; Viridiplantae; Streptophyta; Magnoliopsida; Malpighiales; Linaceae.